This 793-nucleotide ribosomal RNA is filed under the name uncultured bacterium. RNAcentral describes it as "bacterial SSU rRNA". It matches the Rfam family "Bacterial small subunit ribosomal RNA", at positions 8 to 796 of the family's 1533-position model. The record is from RNAcentral.
AGAGUUUGAUCCUGGCUCAGAUUGAACGCUGGCGGCAGGCCUAACACAUGCAAGUCGAGCGGUAGAGAGAAGCUUGCUUCUCUUGAGAGCGGCGGACGGGUGAGUAAUGCCUAGGAAUCUGCCUAGUGGUGGGGGAUAACGUUCGGAAACGGACGCUAAUACCGCAUACGUCCUACGGGAGAAAGCGGGGGACCUUCGGGCCUCGCGCCAUUAGAUGAGCCUAGGUCGGAUUAGCUAGUUGGUGAGGUAAAGGCUCACCAAGGCGACGAUCCGUAACUGGUCUGAGAGGAUGAUCAGUCACACUGGAACUGAGACACGGUCCAGACUCCUACGGGAGGCAGCAGUGGGGAAUAUUGGACAAUGGGCGAAAGCCUGAUCCAGCCAUGCCGCGUGUGUGAAGAAGGUCUUCGGAUUGUAAAGCACUUUAAGUUGGGAGGAAGGGUAGUAACUUAAUACGUUGCUACUUUGACGUUACCGACAGAAUAAGCACCGGCUAACUUCGUGCCAGCAGCCGCGGUAAUACGAAGGGUGCAAGCGUUAAUCGGAAUUACUGGGCGUAAAGCGCGCGUAGGUGGUUCAGUAAGUUGGAAGUGAAAUCCCCGGGCUCAACCUGGGAACUGCUUUCAAAACUGCUGAGCUAGAGUACGGUAGAGGGUGGUGGAAUUUCCUGUGUAGCGGUGAAAUGCGUAGAUAUAGGAAGGAACACCAGUGGCGAAGGCGACCACCUGGACUGAUACUGACACUGAGGUGCGAAAGCGUGGGGAGCAAACAGGAUUAGAUACCCUGGUAGUCG